This 448-nucleotide ribosomal RNA is filed under the name uncultured bacterium. RNAcentral describes it as "bacterial SSU rRNA". It matches the Rfam family "Bacterial small subunit ribosomal RNA", at positions 32 to 456 of the family's 1533-position model. The record is from RNAcentral.
AAUCAACGCUGGCGGCGUGCCUAACACAUGCAAGUCGAACGCGAAAGUCCCGCAAGGGAUUAGUAGAGUGGCAAACGGGUGAGUAACACGUGGGUGACCUGCCUUCGAGUGGGGGAUAACGUCCCGAAAGGGACGCUAAUACCGCAUGACAUCCUGUCUUUUUAACAGGCGGAGAUCAAAGCUGGGGGAUCGCAAGACCUAGCGCUUGAAGAGGGGGCCCGCGUCUGAUUAGCUAGUGGUGAGGUAACGGCUCACCAAGGCGACGAUCAGUAUCCGGCCUGAGGAGGGCGGGACGGACACACUGGGACUGAGACACGGCCCAGACUCCUACGGGAGGCAGCAGGUGGGGAAUUGUUCGCAAUGGGCGCAAGCCUGACGACGCAACCGCCGCGUGGAGGAUGAAGAUCUUCGGGUCGUAAACUUCCUUUCGAUCGAGACGAACGGCUCC